This 468-nucleotide ribosomal RNA is filed under the name uncultured bacterium. RNAcentral describes it as "partial 16S ribosomal RNA". It matches the Rfam family "Bacterial small subunit ribosomal RNA", at positions 28 to 507 of the family's 1533-position model. The record is from RNAcentral.
GACGAACGCUGGCGGCGUGCUUAACACAUGCAAGUCGAACGGAAAGGCCCUGCUUUUGUGGGGUGCUCGAGUGGCGAAAGGGUGAGUAACACGUGAGUAACCUGCCCUUGACUUUGGGAUAAUUUCAGGAAACUGGGGCUAAUACCGGAUAGGAGCUCCUGCUGCAUGGUCGGGGUUGGAAAGUUUCGGCGGUUGGGGAUGGACUCGCGGCUUAUCUGCUUGUUGGUUGGGUAGUGGCUUACCAAGGCUUUGACCGGUAGACGGCCUGGGAGGGUAACCGGCCACAUUGGGACGGAGAUGCGGCACGGACUACUACGGUAGGCAGCAGUGGGGAAGAGUGCACAACGGGCGGAAGCCUGAUGCGGCAACGCCGCGUGCGGGAUGACGUCCUUCUGGUUGUAAACCGCAUUCGCCUGUGACGAGGCGUGAGUGACGGUAAUGGGUAAAGAAGCACCGGCUAACUACGUG